AUGGCCGCGCCAUUUCUGCUCGUUCUUCUGCUCGUCGUCUCUGGGGGGGCUGCAGCGGGCGGCAACGACGAGGCGUGGCUUCCCCGGCUCGAGCUCCGAGGCAUCGACGACCCGGGCCGUGGGCACGCGUCCGUCGGGCCGGAGGAGCCGGUGGUCAUGGACGUUAUUAUCGCCACUGACGACGACGAGGCGGGCGAAACGCCCCUACUCGAGUUCCGUGGCAUCGACGACUCGGGCCGUGGGCACGCGUCCGUCGCACCGGAGGAGCCGGUGUCCAUGGCCCGUGUCUCCACGGACGACGACGAGGCGCCUCGGCUCGAGUUCCGAGGCAUCGACGGCUCGGGCCGUGGGCACGCGUCCGACGCGCCGAAGCAUCAGGUGUUCAUGGACGUUAUGUCCGCCAACGGAUGCGCGAGGUUCGCGGGCCUCCUCGCCGCGAAGGCGAACACGGGCGAGAUCUUCCAGUAG
This 468-nucleotide ribosomal RNA is filed under the name Triticum aestivum (bread wheat). Its description in RNAcentral is "partial small subunit ribosomal RNA". Lineage: Eukaryota; Viridiplantae; Streptophyta; Magnoliopsida; Poales; Poaceae. The record is from RNAcentral.